AGGGCAGAAUCCGAGUAACCAAUCCCAUAAAGCCGUACUCAGUUCGGAUCGCAGUUGCAACUCGACUGCGUGAAGCUGGAAUCGCUAGUAAUCGAGGAUCAGCAUGCCGCGGUGAAUACGUUCCCGGGCCUUGUACACACCGCCCGUCACACCACGAGAGUUUGUAACACCCGAAGUCGGUGAGGUAACCUUUUAGGAGCCAGCCGCCGAAGGUGGACAGAUGAUGGGGGU
Molecule: ribosomal RNA, 231 nt
Filed under: Bacillus sp. CL
Lineage: Bacteria; Bacillati; Bacillota; Bacilli; Caryophanales; Bacillaceae
Description: partial 16S ribosomal RNA
Rfam family: Bacterial small subunit ribosomal RNA
Source: RNAcentral